CCUACGGGGGGUUGCAGUGAGGAAUAUUGGUCAAUGGGCGCGAGCCUGAACCAGCCAAGUCGCGUGAGGGAAGACGGCCCUACGGGUUGUAAACCUCUUUUGCCGGGGAGCAACGGGCGCCACGUGUGGCGCCACUGAGAGUACCCGGAGAACAAGCAUCGGCUAACUCCGUGCCAGCAGCCGCGGUAAUACGGAGGAUGCGAGCGUUAUCCGGAUUUAUUGGGGUUAAAGGUUGCGUGGGUGGAUCGUGAAGUCAGUGGUAAAAUUGAGGGGCUCAACCCCGGCCCGCCAUUGAAACUGGCGCUCUUGAGUGGAAGAGAAGUAUGCGGAAUGCGUGGUGUAGCGGUGAAAUGCAUAGAUAUCACGCAGAACCCCGAUUGCGAAGGCAGCAUGCCGGCUUCCGACUGACGCUGAAGCACGAAAGCGUGGGGAUCGAACAGGAUUAGAUACCCUUGUAGUC
RNAcentral lists this ribosomal RNA (460 nucleotides) under uncultured bacterium. Its description in RNAcentral is "partial 16S ribosomal RNA". It matches the Rfam family "Bacterial small subunit ribosomal RNA", at positions 338 to 795 of the family's 1533-position model. The record is from RNAcentral.